RNAcentral lists this long non-coding RNA (11053 nucleotides) under Mytilus galloprovincialis (Mediterranean mussel). Lineage: Eukaryota; Metazoa; Mollusca; Bivalvia; Mytilida; Mytilidae. The record is from RNAcentral.
UCUAGUUGAGUUUUUGCUGUUUCUGGUAAGUGUUUUUUUCGCAAUUGAGAUUUAAAAGACACUGAAAUAAAGGGGGAUGCGUGCGUUAUGACUUUUUUUUUGCGUUUUGUGGGGAUUUCUCUUAGUUGCACACAAAGCGAUACUCUUGAUUUUUUUUUAUGUGGGUGAGGUUGUACAUUUCGUUAAUUUAAGUUGCAUUCAUUUGAAAACUUCCCUCAUGCUUUUGAUGAGUCUUUUGUAGACGAAACGCGCGUCUGGCGUAUAUAUAAAAUUUAGUCCUGGUAUCUUUGAUGAGUUUAUUUACUAGUAUGCGAAAUCUAUCAAAACCACGAAAUCAUCUAUUAACAAAAAAAUCAGUUUUUAUUAUUACUUGAAAAUGUAUACUCUUGAAAAUUUUUUUUUUCCAUAGGAACUUACCCCGUCAUAUUUAUUUUACAUGUUUGAUAAAUUUAAAAUCAUUACUAAACAAAGGUUCCAACUUUUCAGGCAAACUUGGCUACUAUUCUUAUGUCCAUUUUGUUCAUAUAUAGCUCAUGAGGGCCUGGGGUUCAAGUAUUUAGACCUCCUUAAGUUUUAAAUUUGCAGAUUCUGGCUUUUCAGAUGGAGGUAAAUCUAACUUAAUGAGACCACGGAUUUGCAUGUGUUGAGCGGAAAAUUUAAUUGUCUAAUUUUAUAUUACUUCAGCAUAUUAUAUUUGAUUAUGAAUGUCAAAGGAUUAUUCAAAAGGACACUAGAUUUUAUCAAAACCAUACUUAAUUGUUUCUAAUAUAAUUGAAAAAAUCGAACAAUAAAGGAAUUAUGUAAUGAAAUAAUGUUUGACUGACAAUAUAGGACUUGAAAGGUUUAAGUUAUUUAAAGUUUAAAUUGCUUUAUUGUCAUUAAACAAUGCAUUGAUAAACAGUUAAGGGGGCUCGCGGGUCUAAAUCAAUUUUUUUUAUUUAAUAUAGGAUUUCUCUAUAUUUUUCUAUAAAUGAACUUUAUCUUAUACUUACUAGAAAAAUGGAAUAAAAAAAUGGGGUCACCGUUCAUUUACGCUCACAAUCGGCCUUCGAAAGAAGCAUACAUUUUGUUAAUCCUUUUUUUGUUGAACUAAUAGGAGAAAUAGCGGUAAUAUCGAAAUAAAAAAAGAACUUAAUUACAGAAAUCGCUUAAAUUUUACAAUUAUUUAGUUUAUGUACAGCUUAUUCGAAAACAAUAAUAAAAAAUAUAGGUCACCGAUGAGUUAAAAAAGACAUUUCAAUUUUAAUGUCGAAAAAUGGCAUUUUUGCACCAAAGGGAGAUAAUUUGGAGCUUUUUCAAAGAUAUCUACAUUUUAAAAGUCACCUGGUGCCAAUUCCAAUUGAUUUUUUGGAAUGAUUUUUGUACCGUAUGAUAAAGUAACAACUACUAAAGGUAAUAAAUAAAAUUUGUAAUAAAAAAAUAAUGUUUAAUUUUUUUUUGAAAAUCUUAGACCCGCGAGCCUCCUUAAAUGAAACAAUUCAUUAAACAAUAAUCACAAAAUAUCAAUAUAAAAUCUUUGUUUUAAACAGAAGUUAUGAAAAAAAUCAACGAGGCGUAUAAGUAUAAAAGUAUAAAAGUCCUCUUUCUUUUUUUCAAAUGAUCGAGUUUUAUAAACGACCAUAUCUAAUUUCACUUGUAUUUUUGUUAAAUGAUUCAACUUUGAUGUAAAGCUUUCUCUUCUGCUUAGUGAUUACUUCAAAACAACGUACCACGAAGUCCAUUUAUUAAUAAUUUAAUAAGUCAUUUUGUGCAUAGCUUCAAUCCAUUUCCAGCAAUUAAAUGUACAAACCUCAUCUAAAGCAAAUAGUCAUGAAACCCAAACAAGCUUGCAUUAAAUACCCUUAAACAUGUAUUAAGAGAGAUAAGAAAAAAAAGAAACUACGAAAGUUGAAAGCACACUUUUUUAUUUCUAUUCGCAGUUUAAUUAUGCUCAUAAUCCCGUCAAUCACGUCAAUAAUGGUUCAUUUAAUGAGUACAAUACAAUACAAUACAAUAUGCUUUAUUUCAAAAACACUCCGUCACAUUGACAUGUGAAACAAGAGGUAAAUUACAAAAUACAAUCACAUACAAUUAAAGAAAUAAAUAAAAUAAAUAAAUAAGAGUAAGUAAGCAAAAGGAACAAAUUGACCUUUCUUUAAGAAUUUGAUAUUUAGGUUGUAAUUAUCCUUUAAGAUCAUUUAACAAAUGUCAAUCAGAAGAAAAUAAUAAAAGAGGUGUUCCGCUGAGUUGAUUAGUAAAUUUAAUCAUUUCAAGAGAUGUUGUACUAGUAUUUCAUUUUAUGCUUUUCAAAUUCAUUCUCCUAAAACCGUGUUUGAUGAAGUACCCUUCAAAAAUGUGUUUACGAUAGAAAAUAUAUCAUUAUAUAAUAAAUUAGAAACAAACAGUGCGGUUACCGAUUAUGAAAUUUCAUGAAAUCUAUUAAGAAUAUAUGAAAAUCAAGAUAAAAGAAAACAGCUUUCGGAUUAGCAAAAAAAAAAAAGAAAUACGUGUGAUAGCUUUGCUGUAAAAUUUGUAUGCCGGGGAAAUAAUUCUUAAGCACUAUUGACAUAUUCACAUGGCCAUAAAAGAGGGAGGUUUGGCAUGCCACAAAACCAGGUUCAAUCCACCAUUUCUUCCUUUAAAAAUGUCCUGUACCAAUUCAGGAAUAUGGCCAUUGUUGUAUUAUAGUUUGUUUCUGUGUGUGUUACAUUUUAACGUUGUGUUUCCGUUGUGUCGUUUGUUUCCACUUAUUUUUGAGUGUGAAUUCACAUUACUAUUAGACAUGUCACGGUAUUUAUCUAUCCCAAAUUCAUGUAUUUGGUUUUGAUGUUAUAUUUGUUAUCAUCAUAGGAUUUUGUCUAAUGCUUAGUCCGUUUCUGUGUGUGUGUGUGUGUGUUACAUUUUAAUGUUGUGUCGUUGUUCUCCUCUUAUAUUUAAUGCGUUGCCCUCAGUUUUAGUUUGUUACCCCGAUUUUGUUUUUUUGUCCAUGGAUUUAUGAGUUUUGAACAGCGGUAUACUACUGUUACCUUUAUUUAUUCAUCCAUCUUAUAUUGAUUUUUUCAAAAAGGAACUAUCCCCUUGUUCAAAUCUGAAUUACUAUUACUAUAUCUAAAUAAUGUUACGUUGCACAUUUCAAUAAACGCUUAAGAUAUAGCUAGAAAGGGAGAUAAUUCAAUUACACUUAAAAUUAAACUGUUAGUUGUUACAAUGAAAUAUUUGGCUGACUUGCUUCUCGCAACGAUAUUCAAAAUGAAAAGAGAUGCAAACUAUACAAAUGGCAAUAAUUUCAUUUUGGAUGUAACACGUCUUCUGAUUGGCUGACGUUAUUUUGUUAUGAGCCCAUAGACAUAAUUUAGUCAUGUGACCGUGACGUCAUUGAUCAACGUUUUUUCAUGGUUUUUUUACGGUUUAAAAAUGGAAUUUAGAAUUAAAUUAUAAGAAAUGACUGUAAUAUUUUUUCUGUCUAUUCGAAAUAACAUAAAAAAUUUGGUGCACACUGUUAAAUAACCCACUACGCGCGUUAUUCAGUGUGCACCAAAUUUUUUAUGUUAUUUCUUCAUAGACAGAAAACAUAUUACAGUCAUUCCUUAAAUGUACUAUUAUUUCAAAACAAUGUAUUGUAUCCAUAUUCAUAUUAAAGUACAUUUCCCGUGAAAUAUCGAAAUAAGAGUUGUCGUAUCUAAUGAAGAAUUUUGAAUAAUCCAUGCUCAAGGUGCAUUAAAAAGUGUCAUUUCUUCAGCUUUAAGGCAUCUAUUCCCUUCUUUUCUGUUUAAAUACAAUCAUUCUUACAUCCAGUUUUCGAAAGCGGCGGAGGAUACCAAAUGGGCAAACAAAAAGAGGAUGAGGAACCGACAAAACUAUGUAAAAAAAAUCGAAGAAAAGAUGAAACAUAAAAGCGAAAACUAACCAAUCAAAAAAUAGGGGAGAUCUCAGGUAAAUAGACAGAUAGGAUCUGCCUUAAUUGGUUAUAUGUAUUAGGUUUAAAGUAUGACCCCUAUGCCUGGUUCGGUUUAUUUCAAGAUAAAUAAAACACACGGUUAAUUUUAUAUUAAUAAGAGGAUGUGGAAUGCCUUCAAUUAAGACAAAUAUCCAUAAAGACCAGAGGACAAAGUUGUGAACAAUAACACGUGAUCGUAUACGGCUUUCAGUAAAGAGCACAACCCAUACCGUUUAAUAAUCUCAACAAGACUCUAAUAUAACAAAAUGUAAAACAAUUCGAAUGAACAAAACAACUGCUUCAUCUAUACUAAAACACUUAAAAAUAAACAAGUAUGACAGACGGCAACCACUGGAUUGCAGAUUUCCUAACCAUGUAAAAUGGUGCAAUAUCACAUCAUAAAGAACUGACUCAUCGGAUUGAAACUUACCCAAACAGACAAAGGACACACACGAUACAUAUAGGAACUGAAAGCAAGUUCAAAUCUAAUUUAAUCUACCAAAUCAAUCAUGUUCUCCCAAACUAAAAUAUAAAUCAGGACGCAUCCGAUUGAAUUAGUAUAUAGACGUCACGAGCAGUUUCGGAAAAGGAUUACCUUGUGCAAUGUAGAGUUAUAAGUAUCGACAUGAUUUAGGACAAUCAGUGCUAAUACUUGGAUAGCAAUACAUGUUUAGUUAUAUAUUUACCUGUUAAAAUAAAACUCAUUUUAGUACCUAUAAAACAAUAGUAAAGAUCUUACUACUAAGCUUAAAAGACAACCUUUAAUAAGUGUCAUACCAAACACAACCCAAAAGCAUUUAGCAUUAUAAUAUUUGACUUGAUAAAUUGAUGGUCUUCUGUUUAUUACGGUGGUAACAGAUUUUAUAUUUAAAUUUAGAAAUGUGAAGUGAUUACGACGGGGCCUUUAAUUGGUGGGGGAAUACCCUAAAAAAUAUUAAGGCUGAUACUGUGCAACCAAGUUACAGGACUAAGUUUUUUCAUUAAACUCAUAGUCAUGUCGCAAGAGAACAUAAAACGUAUUUCCCAAAAUUCAGUGUUUAUGCUCUUUGGUAUUGGUACAGAGCAAAGUAAUUUCCUGUAUAUGUCUAAUUGUAACAGUCUAAUAGUCUUGGGUGUGAUAAAUGACCUGAAGACAAAUUAUUUCAUUACAGACACAUAUGUUCUAAAGAGAACAUUACACUCUGUGUCUUUUGUUUUAGAUUUCACUGAUAACUGCGGCAUUGGUCAGACAAAGCAAAAACAUUGAUUCAUUGACAAUCAAAUUUUUCAAUUUUCACAGCUUUCUUAAUAUUUAAACUUAAUUUUAACUUCUUAGAAACCAUGUUUAUCCCGAAUUGUACAUGUAUCACCUUUCUACAUGCCAAUUUUCAACCAAUGUUUGAAGUCUUGUAUUAAAAAACCAACGUUCAGAAGUUAACUUCUACUAAAAAUAACCUAUGAUUUUCUGAAAAAUCUAUAAUAAGUAUACUAUGGAGCGCACUAAUCCUCAAUUUUAAAUGCAAACUUAUGGCUCAGUAAAUUUUGGCUCAAAAUGAUUUCAAUAUAUUUCUCCCUCAUCAACAGUUUCAUUUCUGCAAAUUUGUUGGUUAGUUGAAGUUAACAGCGACAUCAAACUAGCUAUUUUUGGUCAGGGAUUGAUUAAUUGAUUGAUUGGUGUUUAACGCCACUUUCAACACUUUCAUGCUAUUUCGUGGCGGUCAGUUUUUAUUGGUGGUGGGAGCCAAAGUGCCCGGAGAGAACCACCGACGUUCGGUAGGAAAACUGACAUUGCAAGUCGAUUAAGAUUGGGGUCGAGUGCACCUGCCCCGUGGUGGAUUCGAACUUACAACCUCAGCGUUCACUGGCUAGUGAUAUAGUAGUUGGACUUUUUGUCAGAGAAGGACUACUUUUACAUACGUUCUUAAUUGGAGUAAGUGAAUUGAUGGUCUGACACCUUAAUAACGGAGUAUUCACAAAAAAAGAUAUUAAUUAUUUGUUAUCUUAUUUAACAUCCGAAGCAGUAAUAGGAUGAAUAGAAAUAUAUCCUUCACAUUUGUUCGCUUCAAUUUUCAUUUCAAAAUUUACAAUGUUCAAAUACAGUUUUGACAUUUUGUUUGAUUAAAAACCCAACAUAUUCUGAAAUUGGUAAAAAAAAAUGUUGCAUUAAAAAAAUGUUUAUGAGAAAAAUACUGUAUAACACAACAUGAGUAUGUCAAACCAACGUUCAGAUGAGGACUGUUUUGUCAUUUGCAAAAUACUUAUCAGAUUUGACCCCAGACGAUCAUGUGACAUUUCACUACGGUAAAGCAAUCAUAACAGAUCAGAACAAAAGGAAAGCCCUUCAACAUGUUCAACGUCAUAUAAAGAACAAUAUUCAGAAAGCAAAACGGUUCCAACGCCAAGGUAGAACACUUUUAUGGAGUCGGCAUUAAUUCAAAUAUACACGCACUACAAAUGAAAAGUAAAAUCACAAAAAUACUGAACUCAGAGGAAAAUCAAUUCGGAAAGUCCAUAAUCACAUGGCAAAAUCAAAUAACAAAACGCAUCAAAAACGAAUGGACAAGAAUGUCAUUUCCUGACUUGGUACAGCAUUUCAAUGUAGAAAAUGGUGGAUUGAACCUGGUUUUAUAGUUUUAAACCUAAGUACUUUCAGAAUAACAAUAACGUUAAAGGAUCUUUAUAAGUGAACAUCGAUAUUGAUAAUGAAUUUAUAAAUGACUAGAACAAACCCGCGCGGAUACGUGACUGAAUGAAGUACAUACGCUUAUAUUCACCCUGGAAUUUUAAAAUUCGUAUUUUCAUCUGAUAAAGUCAUGCUAAUUAUAAGGUGCAUAAUUUUCUCUGCUUUCAUAAUCUUUCUGUUUGAAUCCGCUUGGUUUUCUUACUACAGUAUGUCCUAACCGGUUUCAACUUCGUUGCCAUGACAUUUGUGUGGCAUCAGGGGUGACCUUAUCCUUUUUUUUACCUCACCUGGCCGACAGGGCUUUUCUCUCGCUUGACGUCUGUCGUCCGUCGUCGUCGUCCGUCGUUAACUUUUACAAAAAUAUUCUCCUCUGAAACUACUGGGCCAUAUUUAACCAAACUUGGCCACAAUCAUCAUUUGGGUAUCUAGUUUAAAAAAUGUGUCCGAUGACACGGCUAACCGACCAAGAUGGCCGCCAUGGCUAAAAAUUGGACCUCGAUAUUUUAGUAGAAUAGAUGUAUCAUACAUCCACGUCAAGGAGGUAAAUUGUUGACUUAGGUUUAUCGUUUUAAUAGUUUUGCUCGUUUCAAGAGAUUGUAUUUUGAAAUUCAUUGCUGUGUUCGUAUUUAAAAAAAAAAUCAUUAGUCAAGCCAUGCGAAUUUUUCUUAUACUAAAAUCUGUUACACAAUGACUUAUAACAUAUUUACCCAAAGAUAAUUAGGAAUAUAUACAAUCAUGGUAGAAAUGCACACACACUAUGCGUGAUUAGUAGAUAAAAGAAUGAUAUUGACUUUAAAUCUGUUUAAGGCUUAUAAUAUUCAGUCCAUUAUAAUUCCUUAUACACAAACAGUGUACUAUAAAGCAUUCUUCUAAAUUAACAAAAAGACAAAAAGACAAAAAUACAGAAAGUAUCGAUCUACGAGUACUCGCGGCUACUGAAAUCUAGCUCACUGUCCAGUUUCAACUAAUAAAAAAACAAUGUUUGCUUCAACUAAACAAGGGAUAAAAACACCUACUUAAAAAAAAAAUACAGCGGACGGUUGUCAAAAUUUCGGUGUCUCAGUAAAUAUACGGAUUCAGUUUUCAUAGGGAAAUAUUCAUAGAAUAUUUGUGAGAAAAUUUCUGCAGAGUUCUCCGUUCAACAGCCUUUUAUACAAAUGCAAAAAAUGACCCUUAUAAUUGCAUCGUCUCGGCAAAUGUCGGUACUAAAAAGUUCAAUUUCUAAUGAUAUGUUUAAGUAACAAAAAGCAAAAUAACAAAAAUACCGCACUCCAAGGGAAAUUCAAAACGGAAAGUCCUUUAUGAAAUGACAAAAUAACAAGCCCAAGCACUUCAAACGAAUGUAAAACAACUGUCAUAUUACUGACUUGGUACAGACAUUUCCUAAUGUAGAAAAUGGUGGAUUAAACCUGAGUUAAAAGCUAGAUAAACCUCUCACUUGUAUGGUAGUAUUAGUGUUUCAAUGGCUACUAUUUACAAUCAAUUCCAUGAUUGACAUGUCGUAACUAAAACGUGAGCCGCCAUAUUGAACUGCUGAAAUACACAGAUUUUCGAUAAAUACAAUGAAAUCAACAAUAAAACAACAUCUACCAAUAAACGUUGUAUUAAUAGAAAAUUAUCCGAAUUUAUAUGGUACAUGUUAAAGCAUAACCUUCAGCUUUAUAGUUUUCAUUCGUAUGACGUCAUGUAUUGCAAUGACAUUAUUGUUUUAAAAAGCAUUAUGAAAUUUCGCGUAUGUUUUUUUCACCAGUAAAACUUCACUUACCCCGAGGGUAUCACCAGCCCAGUAGCCAGGACUUCGGUAGGCAUGAAAAUACGAUUUUUUUGUGUUAUAAAUUUGCAGUUACAAAAUAGAAAUUAUUAUAAAUUUAGAAUGUAUCUCCCUCAUGCAAACUUGAUUCUUUCACGGAUUUCUAUACUUUUUGGAACCUUUUGGUAAAUAGCUCUUGUCUUUUACAUAAGCUUGAUUUCAAAUAUUUUGGACACGAGCAUCACUGAAAGACAUGUAUUGUCGAAAUGCGCAUCUGGUGCAGAAAAUUGGUACCGUUAAUUUUAUUACUACCACUGGGUCGAUGCUUCUGUGGUGGACUUAGUCCCCAAGGGUAUCACCGCCCAUUAGCCAUACUUCGGUACUGGCAUGAAAAUACGGAUUUUUGAAGAGACAUGUAUUGUCGAAAUGCGCAUCUGGUGCAAGAAAAUUGGUACCGUUAAUUUUAUUUUAUUGCAACCGUCUCAUGUCCAACUCCAGCACUGCUUUUCUUAAUUUUAGAUAGAAGAACCAAACGAUAUUACAUGUCUAUUAUUUUUUAUUUUCCACAGUAUAAAAUACUAGUUAAAAAGUCCACACACUUUAUAAGUUAUAAUUGAAAAUAGGUCAGCAGUAGCAGGAAUAACUGUACUGAAGUUGAAGAGUAGCCACCGUCAAUUGGACAUUCAACGAUCGCAAAUGCAGUUUUACUGGCGUAAACAAUCAGCGAAGGUUCGCAAGUAGAAGCCCGUAUAAAAAUCAACCUGAACUUUUAGUCCUGUACAAAGCAGCUGUCAUAUUCAUAUCACAUUUAUAUUUGGUAGUCUGAAUAUGAUUGUCAUAUUUGCCACUGGACAUUUAACAUCAAUUCAUAAUUAUCAUCGCCAUUAUCAACCUUCAUCAGUCACUAUAUUUAUGUUGAGUGUUUUCAUUCUUUUAAGUUUUGUACAUUUCUAAGUCAUUAUUUCUUUCUUUCCAAGAACACAGUGAUUGUACCCAAAGUCCACUGUUUUAAACAGUUCAUGAAAAUUAAACAAAUUCCACCUGCAUUUUCUUAUAAGAAUUUUAGAUAUUUAUAUUCUUUUUGGACAAAUAGUAUACAAGAUAUAGAAAAUUCUACUAGAUAUAACUCAAAAUGUGGACACUUUUAUGUUAAGGGUGUCAUUUAUUUUCAUUUAUUUUCAUUUAUUUUCUGUUUGACAGUUUUAUUUUUUUCAACUAGAUCAAAUCCCUGCUUUACCUUUAAAUUCAUGAACCAUUUCUAUUUCUAUUUAAGUUUCAUGUUACCAUAUAUUCAAAUGUUAAUUUUAAAUAAGUCUCCAUCAACGGAAAUUUGAAUCUUUGAUCCAUUCUUUAAUUGUUCUCGUUCUAAGUAAUCAUGAACUGUUUGCAACUAGAGGUUAUGUAAAGAACAAUCAAACUAUUAAUUACACAAGCAUUUUGCGUGAAAGUUAUUUUUAUCAGAUGGCAGUUAAUAAAUGUAUAUUUUGAUACAUACAAACAUGAAAUCUUCUUUUCUAAUAUUUGUGACAGGAUCAUGACAGAUAAUCAGAGUAUUUGUGGUGUUUGUGAAAAUCGUCAGAUAACCAAACCAUCAAUAAUGUGGUGCUUUAACUGUGAAGAACAACUAUGUGAAGAUUGCAAGGAACAUCAUAGUAUUUCUAAGGGAACAAAAAACCAUAAAACCGUUUCCAUCGACGAAUACAAGAAGUUACCUACCGAGGUCACGAAAAACGCAAUGGUCAGCACAAAACAGAAUGAGAAAUACGAGGUUUUCUGUAGAAAAUACGAUUUUCAGAGACGGAAAGACGAACAAGCACAAAUUAGUGUACCUUAUCCCACCAAAAGUAUCGAUAACCUGACGGUGACGUUACACAAACGUAUCAAUACACGGUUGUCCAUGGUCCGAGGUUGUUCUUUGCUCCCUGAUGGCAGGAUGGUUUUCUCUUGUUAUGCCCAAGACAAGAUAAGAGUAUUCAGGUCUGAUGGAUUCAAAGAUUUUGAAAUAAACAAUAUCGGUUGUACGUUUGAUGUGAUAUUUAUCGGUAAUAAUUGUGCUGCUGUUACAUCUGGCAAAUCAUAUAGGAUAAACAUAAUCAACACGAAGAACAAACAAGUGAAAAAAACAAUAGAAGUGAAUCCACAAAACGAUGGAGUAGCAUACAAAAAUGGCCAUUUGAUUUAUUGUGCCGAGAAGAAAGGAUUACAGGUGAUUAGUCUUAAAAAUCUAUCCGUUACAAAUAUUAUCAAUAAAGAACUUCCGAACCGUGCCUACGUUGCAGCAUUUAGUAACAAACUGUUCUACACAAACAGAGAAAAUGACAGUGUAACCUGUUGUGAUUACCAUGGCAACAUACUGUGGAUGUUCUGUAAUAGAACUGUUCUGAGUCAUCCACUCGGUAUAUCUGUAGACAAUGAUGGUAACGUGUUUGUAGUUGGAUUUGGAUCUAACAAUGUGGUCGUCAUCUCGUCUGAUGGACAACACUACAGGCAAAUUUUAUCACCUGAAGAUGGACUGUUCAGACCGCAAGUUCUGCAUUAUGACCAAUCUGAUAAAAAAUUGUUAGUUGCUAAUAGGGCCAAAGAUGCGUUCUUGUUUAGAGUUAAAUGAUACGUAGUGAUGAUUGAUAUUCCCUGUAUUUAGAUAACCUUACAAAACAAUACUUUGAAUUAUUUGGUGUUGUCUGAUUUGGUUUCUUUUAUAGAAUUUGUUAAUUGAGACCAUGUA